RNAcentral lists this ribosomal RNA (497 nucleotides) under uncultured bacterium. RNAcentral describes it as "partial 16S ribosomal RNA". It matches the Rfam family "Bacterial small subunit ribosomal RNA", at positions 28 to 507 of the family's 1533-position model. The record is from RNAcentral.
GAUGAACGCUGGCGGCGUGCCUAAUACAUGCAAGUCGAACGCAUAGCGAAAGCUGCUUGCGCCUUUCAGGUGAGUGGCGAACGGGUUAGUAACACGUGGACCACCUGCCUCAUGGCUGGGGAUAACAGGUGGAAACGGAUAAUACUACCGAAUAAAACUUACUGUCGCAUGACACAAAGAUAAAAGGCGCUUCGGCGUCACCUAGAGAUGGAUCCGCGCUGCAUUAGUUAGUUGGGGGGGUAAAGGGCUACCAAGACAAUGAUGCGUAGCCGAGUUGAGUGACUGGUCGGCCACAUGGGGACUGAGACAGGGACAAAACGCCUGCGGGAGGGCGCAGUAGGGAAUCUGACACAAUGGGCGAAAGCCUGAUGGAGCAACGCCGCGUGUGUGAUGAAGGCUUUGGGGUCGUAAAGCACGGUUGUAUGGGAAGAACAGCUAGAGUAGGAAAUGAUUUUAGUUUGACGGUACCAUAUCAGAAAGGGACGGCUAAAUACGUG